GACGAACGCUGGCGGCGUGCUUAACACAUGCAAGUCGUACGGUAAGGCCCUUUCGGGGGUACACGAGUGGCGAACGGGUGAGUAACACGUGAGUAACCUGCCCACAACUUUGGGAUAACGCUAGGAAACUGGUGCUAAUACUGGAUAUGUGCUCCUGCUGCAUGGUGGGGGUUGGAAAGCUCCGGCGGUUGUGGAUGGACUCGCGGCCUAUCAGCUUGUUGGUGGGGUAGUGGCCUACCAAGGCGGCGACGGGUAGCCGGCCUGAGGGGGUGACCGGCCACAUUGGGACUGAGAUACGGCCCAGACUCCUACGGGAGGCAGCAGUGGGGAAGAUUGCACAAUGGGCGCAAGCCUGAUGCAGCAACGCCGCGGGCGGGAUGACGGCCUUCGGGUUGUAAACCGCUUUCAGCAGGGACGAAGCUUUUUGUGACGGUACCUGCAGAAGAAGCACCGGCUAACUACGUG
This 465-nucleotide ribosomal RNA is filed under the name uncultured bacterium. Its description in RNAcentral is "partial 16S ribosomal RNA". It matches the Rfam family "Bacterial small subunit ribosomal RNA", at positions 28 to 507 of the family's 1533-position model. The record is from RNAcentral.